RNAcentral lists this small RNA (55 nucleotides) under Salix viminalis (osier). The record is from RNAcentral. Lineage: Eukaryota; Viridiplantae; Streptophyta; Magnoliopsida; Malpighiales; Salicaceae.
UAGCUUAGUGGAAAGGAGCCUGUUUUCUAAGCAGGUGGGGAGGGGUUCGACCCCU